UACGUAGGGGGCAAGCGUUGUCCGGAAUCAUUGGGCGUAAAGCGCGUGUAGGCGGCCAGGUAAGUCCGUUCUGAAAGCCCGGGGCUCAACCCCGGGAGGCGGAUGGAUACUGCUUGGCUCGAGUCCGGAAGAGGCGAGUGGAAUUCCCGGUGUAGCGGUGAAAUGCGCAGAUAUCUGGAGGAACACCAGUGGCGAAGGCGGCUCACUGGACUGGUAUUGACGCUGAGGUGCGAAAGCGUGGGGAGCAAACAGG
This 253-nucleotide ribosomal RNA is filed under the name uncultured bacterium. RNAcentral's name for it is "partial 16S ribosomal RNA". It matches the Rfam family "Bacterial small subunit ribosomal RNA", at positions 524 to 776 of the family's 1533-position model. The record is from RNAcentral.